UAUCUCUGUAGAGUCUGCAUAUCAAUAAGCGGAGGAAAAGAAACUAACAAGGAUUCCCUUAGUAACGGCGAGUGAAGCGGGAAGAGCUCAAAUUUGAAAUCUUCAAGGUUCUACCUUGACGAAUUGUAGUUUAAAGAAGUGUUUUCUGUUAGAUGAGUAGCAAAAGUUCCUUGGAAUGGGACAUCAUAGAGGGUGAGAAUCCCGUAUUUGGUUAUUCAUUCUAGCUUUGUGAUACACUUUCAAAGAGUCGGAUUGUUUGGGAAUGCAGUCCAAAAUGGGUGGUAAAUUUCAUCUAAAGCUAAAUAUUGGCGAGAGACCGAUAGCGAACAAGUACCGUGAGGGAAAGAUGAAAAGAACUUUGAAAAGAGAGUUAAACAGUACGUGAAAUUGUCAAAAGGGAAGCGUUUGACACCAGUGUUGUUUUUCCGAAAAUCAAUUACGAAUGGCUUGAUUUUGUGUUGUAUUGACCUUAUCAGCUUUCUGCACUUUUUUCGAGUCUUUCUUAAUUGCACUUUUCGGUUAACAAGUCAACAUCAAUUUCUUUUGUUGUAAAAGAGUAUUCGGAAGGUGGCUUUCUUUUCGGAGAAAGUGUUUAUAGCCCUAUACUUCUACAAUCGGAGAGAUUGAGGUCUGCAGCGUAGAUCCUUCGGGGUUAGAUACACUUGUGCUAAGUUGUAGCUUUUCAUAGACAACUUGUUGACUAUGUUUAGUCAUGCGGCUUACUCGCUUAUGCUAUUUUACCUACGCUUAGGAUGUUGACUGAUAUGUAGUCGUA
Molecule: ribosomal RNA, 775 nt
Filed under: uncultured Neocallimastigales
Lineage: Eukaryota; Fungi; Neocallimastigomycota; Neocallimastigomycetes; Neocallimastigales
Description: partial large subunit ribosomal RNA
Rfam family: Eukaryotic large subunit ribosomal RNA
Source: RNAcentral